Molecule: ribosomal RNA, 194 nt
Filed under: uncultured Glomus
Lineage: Eukaryota; Fungi; Glomeromycota; Glomeromycetes; Glomerales; Glomeraceae
Description: partial 18S ribosomal RNA
Rfam family: Eukaryotic small subunit ribosomal RNA
Source: RNAcentral
AGCAGCCGCGGUAAUUCCAGCUCCAAUAGCGUAUAUUAAAGUUGUUGCAGUUAAAAAGCUCGUAGUUGAAUUUCGGGAUCAGUACGCUGGUCGUGCCUUGGUAUGUACUGGUGUUACUGGUUCCUACCUUCUGACGAACCGUCAUGUCAUUAAUUUGGUGCGGCGGGAAAUCAGGACUGUUACUUUGAAAAAAU